Molecule: ribosomal RNA, 588 nt
Filed under: uncultured bacterium
Lineage: Bacteria
Description: bacterial SSU rRNA
Rfam family: Bacterial small subunit ribosomal RNA
Source: RNAcentral
CUGUACCCUAAGAAUAAGGUCCGGCUAACUUCGUGCCAGCAGCCGCGGUAAUACGAAGGGACCUAGCGUAGUUCGGAAUUACUGGGCGUAAAGCGCGCGUAGGCCGUUGAGUUAGUUAAUUGUGAAAUCCCAAAGCUUAACUUUGGAACUGCAAUUAAAACUGCUCGACUAGAGUUUGAUAGAGGAAAGCGGAAUACAUAGUGUAGAGGUGAAAUUCGUAGAUAUUAUGUAGAACACCAGUUGCGAAGGCGGCUUUCUGGAUCAACACUGACGCUGAGGCGCGAAAGUAUGGGUAGCAAAGAGGAUUAGAUACCCUCGUAGUCCAUACCAUAAACGAUGAUUGCUAGAUGUUGGAAAUUUAUUUUCAGUAUCGCAGCUAACGCAUUAAGCAAUCCGCCUGGGGAGUACGACCGCAAGGUUAAAACUCAAAUGAAUUGACGGGGACCCGCACAAGCGGUGGAGCAUGUGGUUUAAUUCGAAGAUACGCGCAGAACCUUACCAACCCUUGACAUGUCUGUCGCGAGUUUAGGAAACUAGACUUUUCGGUUCGGCCGGACAGAACACAGGUGCUGCAUGGCUGUCGUCAGC